This 253-nucleotide ribosomal RNA is filed under the name uncultured bacterium. Its description in RNAcentral is "partial 16S ribosomal RNA". It matches the Rfam family "Bacterial small subunit ribosomal RNA", at positions 524 to 776 of the family's 1533-position model. The record is from RNAcentral.
UACGGAGGGUGCAAGCAUUAAUCGGAUUUAUUGGGCGUAAAGGGCGCGUAGGCGGAGAGAUAAGUCAGAUGUGAAAUCCCGGGGCUCAACCCCGGAACAGCAUUUGAAACUGUCUUCCUCGAGGAUAGGCGGAGAAAACGGAAUUCCACAAGUAGCGGUGAAAUGCGUAGAUAUGUGGAAGAACACCUGUGGCGAAAGCGGUUUUCUAGCUUAAUCCUGACGCUGAGGCGCGAAAGCAAGGGGAGCAAACAGG